AUUGAACGCUGGCGGCAGGCCUAACACAUGCAAGUCGAGCGGAUGAAGGGAGCUUGCUCCUGGAUUCAGCGGCGGACGGGUGAGUAAUGCCUAGGAAUCUGCCUGGUAGUGGGGGAUAACGUCCGGAAACGGGCGCUAAUACCGCAUACGUCCUGAGGGAGAAAGUGGGGGAUCUUCGGACCUCACGCUAUCAGAUGAGCCUAGGUCGGAUUAGCUAGUUGGUGGGGUAAAGGCCUACCAAGGCGACGAUCCGUAACUGGUCUGAGAGGAUGAUCAGUCACCCUGGAACUGAGACACGGUCCAGACUCCUACGGGAGGCAGCAGUGGGGAAUAUUGGACAGUGGGCGAAAGCCUGGUCCAGCCAUGCCGCGUGUGUGGAGAAAGUCUUCGGAUUGUGAAGCACUUUAAGUUGGGAGGAAGGGCAGUAAGUUAAUACCUUGCUGUUUUGACGUUACCAACAGAAUAAGCACCGGCUAACUUCGUG
RNAcentral lists this ribosomal RNA (484 nucleotides) under uncultured bacterium. RNAcentral's name for it is "partial 16S ribosomal RNA". It matches the Rfam family "Bacterial small subunit ribosomal RNA", at positions 30 to 507 of the family's 1533-position model. The record is from RNAcentral.